AAUGGGCGAAAGCUUGACGCAGCCAUGCCGCGUGGAUGAUGAAGGCCUUCGGGUCGUAAAAUCCUUUUCUAAGGGAAGAAAUCUUGUGGAGGAAAUGCCACAGGCCUGACGGUACCUUAGGAAUAAGCAACGGCUAACUCCGUGCCAGCAGCCGCGGUAAUACGGAGGUUGCAAGCGUUGUUCGGAAUUAUUGGGCGUAAAGGGGGCGCAGGCGGCUUGUUAAGUCUGAAGUGAAAGCCCGGGGCUCAACCCUGGAAGGCCUUUGGAUACUGGCAAGCUAGAGUACGGGAGAGGAGAGUGGAAUUCCUGGUGUAGCGGUGAAAUGCGUAGAUAUCAGGAGGAACAUCGGUGUCGAAAGCGGCUCUCUGGCCCGAUACUGACGCUGAGGCCCGAAAGCGUGGGGAGCGAACAGGAUU
RNAcentral lists this ribosomal RNA (416 nucleotides) under uncultured Candidatus Sumerlaeota bacterium. RNAcentral describes it as "bacterial SSU rRNA". It matches the Rfam family "Bacterial small subunit ribosomal RNA", at positions 370 to 779 of the family's 1533-position model. The record is from RNAcentral. Lineage: Bacteria; Candidatus Sumerlaeota.